This is a non-coding RNA of Kogia breviceps (pygmy sperm whale), 477 nucleotides long. Lineage: Eukaryota; Metazoa; Chordata; Mammalia; Artiodactyla; Physeteridae. The record is from RefSeq and is a predicted model, not a curated record.
GGCUGUGUUUCGCGCAGCUGGCACAAACCGUGACGAGAGCCCUGCGGCAAGGCACAAGUGGCCUUCUCCUCUGCCAGGGUAAAGUUUGUUUGACUCAGACCCCAGUAAGGUCCAGAAAUUGAAACUGGGACAUGCAAGUCAAAACCACUGUGAUACCUUCACAUCCACUUGGAUGGCCAUAAUGAAUUUUUUUAAUGGAAAAUAACAAGUGUUGGGAGUUCCCUGGUGGUGCAGUGGUUAAGAAUCCGCCUGCCAAUGCAGGGGACAUGGGUUCAAUCCCUGGACCAGGAAGAUCCCACAUGCCAUGGAGACACUAAGCCCGUGCACCACAACUACUGAGCCCACGUGCUGCAACUACUGAAGCCCAUGCGCCUACAGUCCGUGCUCUGCAACAAGAGAAGCCACUGCAAUGAGAAGCCUGCACACCACAACCAAGAGUAGUCCCUGCUCACUUCAACUAGAGAAAGCCCAUGCGCA